Long non-coding RNA from Nilaparvata lugens (brown planthopper), 1898 nucleotides. RefSeq lists it as uncharacterized. The record is from RefSeq and is a predicted model, not a curated record. Lineage: Eukaryota; Metazoa; Arthropoda; Insecta; Hemiptera; Delphacidae. The transcript has 4 exons.
UUGUAACGGUUUUUUAUGUCUGUUGUUUUGUGAUUUUUGUGAAAGAUCCAGUUUAAGGAGCUGUGGUGAUAAAAUUUUCCAACACAAAAGAAAAAGACAUGGAAGCAGUAAUCAAAGACUGGUUGAAGUCUUCAAAAAUUCGGUUUACCAGCAAAGAGAUAUCUAAGUACGGUGCGCUUUCCAAGAAAACCAAAGACAAUUGAGAAAAUUUUCAAGAGCUUUUUAGCUCAAAUGCAGACGAAAAAACGUUCACAGCCUCGCACACUGGAUGAGGAGGAUGACAUUUCAAGGGUCCAGGUUCCACAAGAAUGAAACUUAGAUGAAUACAUUUCAUCAAUCAAUCAAUCAAUCAUUUUAUUCAGUAAAAAGCAUUACAAAAUUGGUCCCGCUAAACCUAAAAGAUUUUACAGCAGGUGCCUUCAAAUAAUAAAAUAAAUAAAUAGAAUGAAUGCUAACUUUAACGAUAAACUAAGAAAAAAAAUUUCAUGUAACUGGGAGUUUAGGAAUUUAAAAGGAGUAUGGGGUAUUAGAUGAACUAAGGAUGAUUAUAAUCAAGUUCCUAUCAUGUGACCAUCGAAGAAUAUUAUUAUAGUCAUCUUGAAUCAAUUUUUCGGCUAUUUUGAAAUUUUUAUGGGCUACUAUCAAAGCAGUGUCGUCUGCAUACAUGAAGAGCUCUCCAUUUUUUAUCACAGAUGGCAAUCCAUUAACGUAAAUGUUAUAUAAAAUAGGCGCUAGUAUACUUCCCUGUGGUACUCCUACAUCGCAUCCAUAAGAUUGACUGGUGUAUUUAUCUAAUUUUACAAGAAAAGAGUGGUUAUGUAAAUAAUUCUUGAACCAAUCAUAAUUGUAACCAGAAAUACCAAUCUUAUUCAAUUCAUUUAAAAGAAACUGGUGAUCGAGGGUAUCAAAAGCCUUUGAAUAGUCAAUGAAUAUAGCCAGUACAUGCAGAGUGGAACUAUUAGAUGAAGAGUACAUGCAAUAAUGUAGUGGUCUGAAAUUUUUACGUUGAUAACGCUGGUGUCCACAUCAACAUCAUCAUAAGUCCUGACAAAAAUAUGGACGAUGCAUGAUUUGGUUAUUAUGUUCAACCUAGGCUCUUCACGAGUAACAAUGGAGAUACCUUUUAAUACAUCCAAAUGAAUUUGGCAUUGAAUAGAUUCAUAUAAAUUAAUAUUAUGAUCAUUCCUUUUCAAAAGAUCUAGGUUUGUAUCUCCCACUAUAACAAGGUUAGACCUAUUAUCAAAUUCUAGAAUCAAGUUCUUCAGAUCUGGAAUAAAAUCAAUCUUUCUAACACAAUGAGGUCUAUAUAAAGCUAUUAUAUUAAAUUUAUAUCCGCUCAUGGAAAGGUUAAGGCUCAAAUUAAUAUUCGAAAUUUGUUAUAACAGUUUGAGGGUUGAAGAUAUUGUAAGAGAUUUCUUUUUUUAAGAAAAUAGCCAAUCCAUGUUCAUUACUUUUAGCAGGGAAUUUGAAGAUAGAUUUAUAGCCUCGUAUUCUAAAAGUACUGCUUAUAGAACUGUCAAUGUUUAUUUCAGAGAUGUAAUGUUUAUUACAUUAAUAAAUAUUUUAAGAAUUUAUAACCUGUGUUUCUCUGUGAGUCGACCACCUAUCACGCUGUAUAUUUACUGUUUUAACAAUGACACUGUAUUUUCAAACUCUGUUAAUGAAAAAAGUUGAAAUUACUUUCAAGGGCACUGAUCAACUUUGAGUUAUCUAAAUUACCAAAUUAUAUUUUAUUCCAAUGUAACUCUCAAGUUCUAAAAUAUUUGUUGUAUAGUUGACCGAACAUAGUGAGGUCUAUGUUACAACUUGACUUGCUUUUGUCUGUCUGUAUGUAACGCGAUUACGGCCAAACGCGUUUAUAGAAUUCGAUGAGAUUUGGCAGGAAUAUUCCUUUUUCA